GACGUAGGGCGCGAGCGUUGUCCGGAUUUAUUGGGCGUAAAGAGCUCGUAGGCGGUUUGUCGCGUCUGCUGUGAAAACUGGAGGCUCAACCUCCAGCCUGCAGUGGGUACGGGCAAACUAGAGUGCGGUAGGGGAGACUGGAAUUCCUGGUGUAGCGGUGAAAUGCGCAGAUAUCAGGAGGAACACCGGUGGCGAAGGCGGGUCUCUGGGCCGUAACUGACGCUGAGGAGCGAAAGCGUGGGGAGCGAACAGG
Molecule: ribosomal RNA, 253 nt
Filed under: uncultured bacterium
Lineage: Bacteria
Description: partial 16S ribosomal RNA
Rfam family: Bacterial small subunit ribosomal RNA
Source: RNAcentral